This 253-nucleotide ribosomal RNA is filed under the name uncultured bacterium. RNAcentral's name for it is "partial 16S ribosomal RNA". It matches the Rfam family "Bacterial small subunit ribosomal RNA", at positions 524 to 776 of the family's 1533-position model. The record is from RNAcentral.
GACAGAGGUGCCAAGCGUUAGGCGGAAUCACUGGGCUUAAAGCGUGUGUAGGCGGAUCGUUAAGUACCUUGUGAAAUCCCACGGCUCAACCGUGGAACUGCUCGGUAUACUGGCGGUCUUGAGCCACCUAGGGGCAACUGGAAUUCUCGGUGUAGCGGUGAAAUGCGUAGAUAUCGAGAGGAACACCUGCGGCGAAGGCGGGUCUCUGGGCAACUACUGACGCUGAGGAGCGAAAGCGUGGGGAGCGAACAGG